Molecule: ribosomal RNA, 483 nt
Filed under: uncultured bacterium
Lineage: Bacteria
Description: partial 16S ribosomal RNA
Rfam family: Bacterial small subunit ribosomal RNA
Source: RNAcentral
GAUGAACGCUGGCGGCGUGCCUAAUACAUGCAAGUCGAGCGAACCACUUCGGUGGUGAGCGGCGAACGGGUGAGUAACACGUAGGUGAUCUGCCCAUCAGACGGGGACAACGAUUGGAAACGAUCGCUAAUACCGGAUAGGACGAAAGUUUAAAGGUGCUUCUCGCACCGCUGAUGGGUGAGCCUGCGGCGCAUUAGCUAGUUGGUGGGGUAAAGGCCUACCAAGGCGACGAUGCGUAGCCGACCUGAGAGGGUGAACGGCCACACUGGGACUGAGACACGGCCCAGACUCCUACGGGAGGCAGCAGUAGGGAAUCUUCGGCAAUGGGCGAAAGCCUGACCGAGCAACGCCGCGUGAAUGAUGAAGGCCUUCGGGUUGUAAAAUUCUGUUAUAAGGGAAGAACGACUUUAGUAGGAAAUGGCUAGAGUGUGACGGUACCUUAUGAGAAAGCCACGGCUAACUACGUGCCAGCAGCCGCCGUAA